AGCAGCCGCGGUAAUUCCAGCUCCAAUAGCGUAUAUUAAAGUUGUUGCAGUUAAAAAGCUCGUAGUUGAAUUUCGGGAUCAAUUCGUCGGUCGUGCUUUUUGGUACGUACUGGCGUUAUUGGUUUCUCCCUUCUGACGAACCAUGAUGUCAUUAAUUUGGUGUUAUGGGGGUUUAGGACUGUUACUUUGAAAAAAUUAGAGUGUUUAAAGCAGGCAUUAGCUUGAAUACAUUAGCAUGGAAUAAUGAAAUAGGACGUUCGAACCUAUUUUGUUGGUUUCUAGGAUCAACGUAAUGAUUAAUAGGGAUAGUUGGGGGCAUUAGUAUUCAAUUGUCAGAGGUGAAAUUCUUGGAUUUAUUGAAGACUAACUACUGCGAAAGCAUUUGCCAAGGAUGUUUUCAUUAAUCAAGAACGAAAGUUAGGGGAUCGAAGACGAUCAGAUACCGUCGUAGUCUUAACCAUAAACUAUGCCGACUAGGGAUCGGAUGAUGUUAACUUUUUAAUGACUCAUUCGGCGCCUU
RNAcentral lists this ribosomal RNA (520 nucleotides) under uncultured Glomeromycotina. RNAcentral's name for it is "SSU rRNA". It matches the Rfam family "Eukaryotic small subunit ribosomal RNA", at positions 569 to 1089 of the family's 1831-position model. The record is from RNAcentral. Lineage: Eukaryota; Fungi; Glomeromycota.